AACCGAGAUUCCCCCAGUAGCGGCGAGCGAACGGGGAGGAGCCCAGAGCCUGAAUCAGUAUGUGUGUUAGUGGAAGCGUCUGGAAAGGCGAGCGAUACAGGGUGACAGCCCCGUACACAAAAAUGCACAUGCUGUGAGCUCGAUGAGUAGGGCGGGACACGUGGUAUCCUGUCUGAAUAUGGGGGGACCAUCCUCCAAGGCUAAAUACUCCUGACUGACCGAUAGUGAACCAGUACCGUGAGGGAAAGGCGAAAAGAACCCCGGCGAGGGGAGUGAAAAAGAACCUGAAACCGUGUACGUACAAGCAGUGGGAGCACGCUUAGGCGUGUGACUGCGUACCUUUUGUAUAAUGGGUCAGCGACUUAUAUUCUGUAGCAAGGUUAACCGAAUAGGGGAGCCGAAGGGAAACCGAGUCUUAACUGGGCGUUAAGUUGCAGGGUAUAGACCCGAAACCCGGUGAUCUAGCCAUGGGCAGGUUGAAGGUUGGGUAACACUAACUGGAGGACCGAACCGACUAAUGUUGAAAAAUUAGCGGAUGACUUGUGGCUGGGGGUGAAAGGCCAAUCAAACCGGGAGAUAGCUGGUUCUCCCCGAAAGCUAUUUAGGUAGCGCCUCGUGAAUUCAUCUCCGGGGGUAGAGCACUGUUUCGGCAAGGGGGUCAUCCCGACUUACCAACCCGAUGCAAACUGCGAAUACCGGAGAAUGUUAUCACGGGAGACACACGGCGGGUGCUAACGUCCGUCGUGAAGAGGGAAACAACCCAGACCGCCAGCUAAGGUCCCAAAGUCAUGGUUAAGUGGGAAACGAUGUGGGAAGGCCCAGACAGCCAGGAUGUUGGCUUAGAAGCAGCCAUCAUUUAAAGAAAGCGUAAUAGCUCACUGGUCGAGUCGGCCUGCGCGGAAGAUGUAACGGGGCUAAACCAUGCACCGAAGCUGCGGCAGCGACGCUUAUGCGUUGUUGGGUAGGGGAGCGUUCUGUAAGCCUGCGAAGGUGUGCUGUGAGGCAUGCUGGAGGUAUCAGAAGUGCGAAUGCUGACAUAAGUAACGAUAAAGCGGGUGAAAAGCCCGCUCGCCGGAAGACCAAGGGUUCCUGUCCAACGUUAAUCGGGGCAGGGUGAGUCGACCCCUAAGGCGAGGCCGAAAGGCGUAGUCGAUGGGAAACAGGUUAAUAUUCCUGUACUUGGUGUUACUGCGAAGGGGGGACGGAGAAGGCUAUGUUGGCCGGGCGACGGUUGUCCCGGUUUAAGCGUGUAGGCUGGUUUUCCAGGCAAAUCCGGAAAAUCAAGGCUGAGGCGUGAUGACGAGGCACUACGGUGCUGAAGCAACAAAUGCCCUGCUUCCAGGAAAAGCCUCUAAGCAUCAGGUAACAUCAAAUCGUACCCCAAACCGACACAGGUGGUCAGGUAGAGAAUACCAAGGCGCUUGAGAGAACUCGGGUGAAGGAACUAGGCAAAAUGGUGCCGUAACUUCGGGAGAAGGCACGCUGAUAUGUAGGUGAAGCGACUUGCUCGUGGAGCUGAAAUCAGUCGAAGAUACCAGCUGGCUGCAACUGUUUAUUAAAAACACAGCACUGUGCAAACACGAAAGUGGACGUAUACGGUGUGACGCCUGCCCGGUGCCGGAAGGUUAAUUGAUGGGGUCAGCGCAAGCGAAGCUCUUGAUCGAAGCCCCGGUAAACGGCGGCCGUAACUAUAACGGUCCUAAGGUAGCGAAAUUCCUUGUCGGGUAAGUUCCGACCUGCACGAAUGGCGUAAUGAUGGCCAGGCUGUCUCCACCCGAGACUCAGUGAAAUUGAACUCGCUGUGAAGAUGCAGUGUACCCGCGGCAAGACGGAAAGACCCCGUGAACCUUUACUAUAGCUUGACACUGAACAUUGAGCCUUGAUGUGUAGGAUAGGUGGGAGGCUUUGAAGUGUGGACGCCAGUCUGCAUGGAGCCGACCUUGAAAUACCACCCUUUAAUGUUUGAUGUUCUAACGUUGACCCGUAAUCCGGGUUGCGGACAGUGUCUGGUGGGUAGUUUGACUGGGGCGGUCUCCUCCUAAAGAGUAACGGAGGAGCACGAAGGUUGGCUAAUCCUGGUCGGACAUCAGGAGGUUAGUGCAAUGGCAUAAGCCAGCUUGACUGCGAGCGUGACGGCGCGAGCAGGUGCGAAAGCAGGUCAUAGUGAUCCGGUGGUUCUGAAUGGAAGGGCCAUCGCUCAACGGAUAAAAGGUACUCCGGGGAUAACAGGCUGAUACCGCCCAAGAGUUCAUAUCGACGGCGGUGUUUGGCACCUCGAUGUCGGCUCAUCACAUCCUGGGGCUGAAGUAGGUCCCAAGGGUAUGGCUGUUCGCCAUUUAAAGUGGUACGCGAGCUGGGUUUAGAACGUCGUGAGACAGUUCGGUCCCUAUCUGCCGUGGGCGCUGGAGAACUGAGGGGGGCUGCUCCUAGUACGAGAGGACCGGAGUGGACGCAUCACUGGUGUUCGGGUUGUCAUGCCAAUGGCACUGCCCGGUAGCUAAAUGCGGAAGAGAUAAGUGCUGAAAGCAUCUAAGCACGAAACUUGCCCCGAGAUGAGUUCUCCCUGACUCCUUGAGAGUCCUGAAGGAACGUUGAAGACGACGACGUUGAUAGGCCGGGUGUGUAAGCGCAGCGAUGCGUUGAGCUAACCGGUACUAAUGAACCGUGAGGCUUAACCUUACAACGCCGAAGCUGUU
This 2696-nucleotide ribosomal RNA is filed under the name Escherichia coli. Its description in RNAcentral is "partial 23S ribosomal RNA". It matches the Rfam family "Bacterial large subunit ribosomal RNA". Lineage: Bacteria; Pseudomonadati; Pseudomonadota; Gammaproteobacteria; Enterobacterales; Enterobacteriaceae. The record is from RNAcentral.